AAUUAUAUUACUGUGAAACAAAUGCUUUACACAAUGUUUUAUUAUCCUCAGAUAAUUAAAUAACUUUGUCAAUCCCCUUACACAGGUGGUUGCUGACUCCCUGAAUACACUUCUCUCUGGCCAAUAACCAACCUACUGUGUCCAGAAGUUAUUCUUUCCAGUGGCUUCUUGGUCUCGCUGACUUCAAGAAUGAAGCUGUGGACCCUCAUGGCGCUUUGAGAAUCUCUAUCUGGAAGACGGAC
Molecule: long non-coding RNA, 242 nt
Filed under: Papio anubis (olive baboon)
Lineage: Eukaryota; Metazoa; Chordata; Mammalia; Primates; Cercopithecidae
Description: lncRNA (ENSPANG00000044098.1)
Source: RNAcentral